This 239-nucleotide long non-coding RNA is filed under the name Rattus norvegicus (Norway rat). RNAcentral describes it as "long non-coding RNA NONRATT006546". The record is from RNAcentral. Lineage: Eukaryota; Metazoa; Chordata; Mammalia; Rodentia; Muridae.
UCGGAUGCCCUCAUUACUGAAAGUUACAGUGCGAUGUCUGACUGUUCAGCGAAAAUGAAGAAUGGUGAAAACGCAAAUCCCUCAGCAUUCACGGCUGGGAUGAUAAUGAUGUGCCAAACCUCAGCGUGCGGCUGUUAGGAGGAUCAAAUGAGACCAUCCAUUCACCUCACACCUUCAACCCUGAGUACCAAUAAAUGCGAGCACUUAGUGACAAAAAAGGGAACAGGAAGCAUCAGUAA